Molecule: long non-coding RNA, 109 nt
Organism: Sapajus apella (tufted capuchin)
Lineage: Eukaryota; Metazoa; Chordata; Mammalia; Primates; Cebidae
Exons: 3
Source: RefSeq, a predicted model, not a curated record
UGUGAGUGAAAAGCAAGUUUUGUGAGUUUGUCUUGUGUAGGACUAGAUAGGCUUAUAUGGAACUAAUUUAUUUCAUAAAAAGUUCAACUAAUUUAUGAAAUUAGUACUU